CCGCUGGAGGUGCCUCGUGGACUGCAGCCCAGGGUCACUGAGGUGGCAGACAGCAACUUCACAGGGCACUCCACCCCACAGAUGAAGUCUUGCUCUGUUGAACAGGUUGGAGUACAGUGGUGUAAUCUCGGCUCUCUGCAACAUCCACCUCCCAGGUUCAAGCAAUUCUCCUGCCUCAGCCUCCUGAGUAGCUGGGAUUACAGGUCUCCCAGCUCCAUGUCCUCUAACCCACUGAACAAACGUGGAUGUGUCGCUUCCAGAGGCUAACAACUCCAAGAGUCAUCGCCAGAAGACAGUUACUUUCUAUGAUUUCUUUUAAACAAAUGAUAAUUUACAAGAUGUGUGAUUUUCUACCUCUAUCAUACAUUAGCAAGGUCUUUCCAGCCAGAAGGGCUACAUGUGGCAAAUGUUUUCUAUGAAAAGGCCGGGGUGGAGUUGAGAGCAGCUUUUUCAUAGUAUAUACACAGGCCUUCCAUAAACGUCCAGUAAAUCAUCCCAAA
This 500-nucleotide long non-coding RNA is filed under the name Callithrix jacchus (white-tufted-ear marmoset). RNAcentral's name for it is "lncRNA (ENSCJAG00000078303.1)". Lineage: Eukaryota; Metazoa; Chordata; Mammalia; Primates; Cebidae. The record is from RNAcentral.